This 497-nucleotide ribosomal RNA is filed under the name uncultured bacterium. RNAcentral's name for it is "partial 16S ribosomal RNA". It matches the Rfam family "Bacterial small subunit ribosomal RNA", at positions 28 to 507 of the family's 1533-position model. The record is from RNAcentral.
GAUGAACGCUGGCGGCGUGCCUAAUACAUGCAAGUCGAGCGAACAGACGAGGAGCUUGCUCCUCUGACGUUAGCGGCGGACGGGUGAGUAACACGUGGAUAACCUACCUAUAAGACUGGGAUAACUUCGGGAAACCGGAGCUAAUACCGGAUAAUAUAUUGAACCGCAUGGUUCAAUAGUGAAAGACGGUUUUGCUGUCACUUAUAGCUGGAUCCGCGCCGCAUUAGCUAGUUGGUAAGGUAACGGCUUACCAAGGCAACGAUGCGUAGCCGACCUGAGAGCGUGAUCGGCCACACUGGAACUGAGACACGGUCCAGACUCCGACGGGAGGCAGCAGUAGGGAAUCUUCCGCAAUGGGCGAAAGCCUGACGGAGCAACGCCGCGUGAGUGAUGAAGGUCUUCGGAUCGUAAAACUCUGUUAUUAGGGAAGAACAAAUGUGUAAGUAACUAUGCACGUCUUGACGGUACCUAAUCAGAAAGCCACGGCUAACUACGUG